ACAGCCAGGUGUGUGGCCCAGGUGUCAGAGCGAGGUCUAACAGCCUUGCGUUCCUGGCUUCCAGGCCAGUUCUUCUGUUCCCAGGGACUGCCCUUAGUCGUUGAAGGAGAGGUAGCAAACUGGUGACCCGAGAUUCUUCUUUUUCUUCUUCUUCUUUUUAAGCUAAGAGUCCAUGUUGAAACACUGGGAGAUUUCACGAAAAUCUGGAUUUCUGGUUUCUUCGGGAAGCACCGAGCCCACGCUUCUGCAAGACUGUUGGCGUUAACGGUGGCUUCUGCCUUCCUGCAGGUGAUGUACCCUCUAGUUCAGCACGGUCCCCUCUGCUCCCUGCGACCUCCCCAGCGUUGAGCCUGAUGGCCAGCAGCCAUUUAGGGUCAAACUUGUGCUGUCGUAUUUCCGAUAGUAGAACUAAGAAGCACUGUCUCUCAUAUCCACGUCUCUGUUAAAGGUGGGCUGUGUUUCAAGACGAAUGGGUAUUUUAAAAAGUAAAGUGUGUCAGGGCCAGAAGAAUACAGUUCAAGGUGAUAUUAUGAAACAGAUCUGUUUGGCACCUGUAGGCGUUGGGAGUUGCAACUCUCAAUACCGUCGUCAUCAGAAGAGCUUUGGGUACGUCUUUUCACUGGGGGGCUGCAGUAUACCUUUGACAAGUUUUGAAAGGAGAUUUUCGUAGAGAAAGUGGAACAAAGAGAGGACAUGGGACCCCUCUCUCCCCUCGCCCACAGCAGAGCUACUAAAAGGAGGAUCAGUUUGUUUAGAUCCUGAGUCCGGUUGUCCAAAAGACUGUGCUUUGGGAACUCUGCACCGACUUCCCGGAGGAUUACCUCGAUCUGCUCACGGGCUGUCAUGCAGCAGAACUCGGGGGAGUCGGAGCUUGGGGGUUCCUCUGCCACUUGCUGACUUGACCCUGACAUUGCCUCGAGGACACCCACUUCUUAUUCAGAGAAAUAAACUGCAAAUAAGCCACAGCCCAAAUGUACCACACUCGUGGUUCCCUGGACAAGAGGUGCGGUGCUCUACCCGCCUAGUACUGCAGAUGGUCCGCCGCUGGCUCAUCCCUGCACGUGAGCUCCCUUCUGGUCUCUGCUUCCAGCCGUCCUUCAACUCCACCAAUAUUUCUUUUGUGAAGCCAGGAGGCUCCAUAAAGGUUAAAAAUAAUUCAGCGAUGUUGUGCUGAGCAUAAUUGGCAUGUCGUGAGCCAUCUGGAGAGCAGGAGAACCAGUUCUCUUGCUUCUCUUGGUUUGGUCUGUUUACUCUGCUGGUGCCCGUCCCUGACGCUUGGGCCGGGAGACCUGCUGAGGAAUGCUUCCUCCGGGGUUCCGACAGGCAUGGCUAUUUGUCAUGGCCUCAGAAGCUGCUUGGGGACAGGUCACGCUGUGUGGAUGGAGAGCCCAGGGAUGAAGUCACCGCUGUCACCCGGGGUCUGAUCCCUCAACGCCUUGAUGACCGAUCGCUGAUGCGUGCACCAGGUGAAGAUGCCCCCAGGGCUGAACGUGAGCCGAUUUGGAUGUGACAAGUCCAGCGGAUUCAACUCAUCAGAGUUUCUCGAUAACAACAAGCAGGCUACGAAACCGGUAACAUUUCCCCAAAUAGAUUUUGUGAUGCUUGCAGGCUC
This is a non-coding RNA of Leptonychotes weddellii (Weddell seal), 1612 nucleotides long. The record is from RefSeq and is a predicted model, not a curated record. Lineage: Eukaryota; Metazoa; Chordata; Mammalia; Carnivora; Phocidae.